UGGGGGAUAUUGCACAAUGGAGGAAACUCUGAUGCAGCAACGCCGCGUGAGGGAAGAAGGUCUUCGGAUUGUAAACCUUAGUAGUCAGGGACGAAAGAAAUGACGGUACCUGAAGAGUAAGCUCCGGCUAACUACGUGCCAGCAGCCACGGUAAUACGUAGGGAGCGAGCGUUGUCCGGAUUUACUGGGUGUAAAGGGUGCGUAGGCGGGACUGCAAGUCAGACGUGAAAUACCGGGGCUUAACCUCGGGGCUGCGUUUGAAACUGCGGUUCUUGAGUGAAGUAGAGGCAGGCGGAAUUCCUAGUGUAGCGGUGAAAUGCGUAGAUAUUAGGAGGAACACCAGUGGCGAAGGCGGCCUGCUGGGCUUUAACUGACGCUGAAGCACGAAAGCAUGGGGAGCAAACA
This 405-nucleotide ribosomal RNA is filed under the name uncultured bacterium. RNAcentral's name for it is "bacterial SSU rRNA". It matches the Rfam family "Bacterial small subunit ribosomal RNA", at positions 355 to 774 of the family's 1533-position model. The record is from RNAcentral.